RNAcentral lists this ribosomal RNA (941 nucleotides) under uncultured prokaryote. Its description in RNAcentral is "bacterial SSU rRNA". It matches the Rfam family "Bacterial small subunit ribosomal RNA", at positions 40 to 968 of the family's 1533-position model. The record is from RNAcentral.
CGGCGGCCUAUCAUGCAGUCGAGCGGACAGAAGGGAGCUUGCUCCCGGAUGUUAGCGGCGGACGGGUGAGUAACACGUGGGUAACCUGCCUGUAAGACUGGGAUAACUCCGGGAAACCGGAGCUAAUACCGGAUAGUUCCUUGAACCGCAUGGUUCAAGGAUGAAAGACGGUUUCGGCUGUCACUUACAGAUGGACCCGCGGCGCAUUAGCUAGUUGGUGAGGUAACGGCUCACCAAGGCGACGAUGCGUAGCCGACCUGAGAGGGUGAUCGGCCACACUGGGACUGAGACACGGCCCAGACUCCUACGGGAGGCAGCAGUAGGGAAUCUUCCGCAAUGGACGAAAGUCUGACGGAGCAACGCCGCGUGAGUGAUGAAGGUUUUCGGAUCGUAAAGCUCUGUUGUUAGGGAAGAACAAGUGCAAGAGUAACUGCUUGCACCUUGACGGUACCUAACCAGAAAGCCACGGCUAACUACGUGCCAGCAGCCGCGGUAAUACGUAGGUGGCAAGCGUUGUCCGGAAUUAUUGGGCGUAAAGGGCUCGCAGGCGGUUUCUUAAGUCUGAUGUGAAAGCCCCCGGCUCAACCGGGGAGGGUCAUUGGAAACUGGGAAACUUGAGUGCAGAAGAGGAGAGUGGAAUUCCACGUGUAGCGGUGAAAUGCGUAGAGAUGUGGAGGAACACCAGUGGCGAAGGCGACUCUCUGGUCUGUAACUGACGCUGAGGAGCGAAAGCGUGGGGAGCGAACAGGAUUAGAUACCCUGGUAGUCCACGCCGUAAACGAUGAGUGCUAAGUGUUAGGGGGUUUCCGCCCCUUAGUGCUGCAGCUAACGCAUUAAGCACUCCGCCUGGGGAGUACGGUCGCAAGACUGAAACUCAAAGGAAUUGACGGGGGCCCGCACAAGCGGUGGAGCAUGUGUUUAAUUCGAAGCAACGCGAAGAA